GUGAAAACGUGUUUUCUACCCCAUAUAUAAUGGAGGAUAUUUUGAAAAAAGCUGAACAAGCAAAGAAUCAUUAAUUGCAUCGAAAUGUGAAGCCGUAUACCAAAAAGAAUACAAGAUAUAUCUGGACUGGCUGACACGGAAAAAUGUUAUGCCAAAAGAUGUUACUGAAACUGUAUUUCUGGCAUAUUUUCAAGAACUGGUAAGGAAUUUUCUAUGUUUUUCGGUAGAUUUGGUAGUAAUUGUGUUUAUUCGUUUCAGUCAGAAACGUAUAGUCCGAAUUUUUUAUGGACUAAAUGGUCAAUGCUAUACAUGAGAAACGAGAUAUCACCAAGUUCAAUGAACUACAGGCUUUUUUGAAACGGAAGAGUAAGAGUUAUAAGCCGAAAAAGUCUGCUGUUUUAUCUCCUAAAGAUGUUAUUAGAUUCCUAAAGGACGCUUCUAAUGAUAUUCAUUUAUUGCAUAAGGUUGUUUUGAUUAUGGGUUAUUUUGGAGGAUGCUGAAGUCAGGAACUUUUGAAUAUGAAGAUAUCGGAUAUAGAGGACCGGGAUUUCGUUAUGGUAGUGGACGUACCGGAAAGUAAAACUGGUGUAUCGAAGAAAUUUACAGUUGUGUAUGGAAAAGAGUUCUCCGCUUUGCCUUUAUUAAGACUUUAUAUGUCUUUGCGUCCUAAAGGUAUUGAACGAUUUUUUUUGAGCUUCCGACAAAAUAAAUGUACAUCUCAGCCAAUUGGAAAAAACAUGUUUGGGAAAAUCCCCAGCAAAAUCGCAAUGUAUUUAGGAUUGCCAAACUCAUCUUCCUAUACGGGACAUUGCCUUCGUCGCACUUCUGCUACUGCUCUAGCCAAUGCAG
RNAcentral lists this long non-coding RNA (849 nucleotides) under Leptinotarsa decemlineata (Colorado potato beetle). RNAcentral describes it as "uncharacterized LOC111516980". Lineage: Eukaryota; Metazoa; Arthropoda; Insecta; Coleoptera; Chrysomelidae. The record is from RNAcentral.